GGACGAACGCUGGCGGCGUGCUUAACACAUGCAAGUCGAGCGGUAAGGCCCUUUCGGGGGUACACGAGCGGCGAACGGGUGAGUAACACGUGGGUGACCUGCCCUUAGCUCUGGGAUAAGCCUGGGAAACUGGGUCUAAUACCGGAUAUGACUCCAUAACGCAUGUUGUGGGGUGGAAAGCCUUGUGCGGCUAGGGAUGGGCCCGCGGCCUAUCAGCUUGUUGGUGGGGUGAUGGCCACCAAGGCGACGACGGGUAGCCGGCCUGAGAGGGCGACCGGCCACACUGGGACUGAGACACGGCCCAGACUCCUACGGGAGGCAGCA
RNAcentral lists this ribosomal RNA (324 nucleotides) under uncultured bacterium. RNAcentral describes it as "bacterial SSU rRNA". It matches the Rfam family "Bacterial small subunit ribosomal RNA", at positions 27 to 353 of the family's 1533-position model. The record is from RNAcentral.